UAGUCCACGCUGUAAACGAUGAUUACUCGGUGCUGGCGAUAUACGGUCAGUGCCCAAGCGAAAGUGAUAAGUAAUCCACCUGGGGAGUACGAUCGCAAGGUUGAAACUCAAAGGAAUUGACGGGGGCCCGCACAAGCGGUGGAGCAUGUGGUUUAAUUCGAUGAUACGCGAGGAACCUUACCUGGGCUUAAAUGCAUAAUGACAGACCGAGAAAUCGGUUGUUCUUCGGACAGAAUGCAAGGUGCUGCAUGGUUGUCGUCAGCUCGUGCCGUGAGGUGUCAGGUUAAGUCCUAUAACGAGCGCAACCCUUAUCGUUAGUUGCCAGCAAGUAAAGUUGGGGACUCUAGCGAGACUGCCGGUGCAAACCGAGAGGAAGGUGGGGAUGACGUCAAAUCAUCACGGGCCCUUA
RNAcentral lists this ribosomal RNA (409 nucleotides) under uncultured bacterium. Its description in RNAcentral is "bacterial SSU rRNA". It matches the Rfam family "Bacterial small subunit ribosomal RNA", at positions 791 to 1204 of the family's 1533-position model. The record is from RNAcentral.